This 379-nucleotide ribosomal RNA is filed under the name uncultured bacterium. Its description in RNAcentral is "bacterial SSU rRNA". It matches the Rfam family "Bacterial small subunit ribosomal RNA", at positions 8 to 385 of the family's 1533-position model. The record is from RNAcentral.
AGAGUUUGAUCCUGGCUCAGAUUGAACGCUGGCGGCAUGCCUUACACAUGCAAGUCGAACGGCAGCGCGGGGGGUAACUCCUGGCGGCGAGUGGCGAACGGGUGAGUAAUAUAUCGGAACGUGCCCUGGAGUGGGGGAUAACUAGUCGAAAGAUUAGCUAAUACCGCAUACGAUCUACGGAUGAAAGUGGGGGAUUCGCAAGAACCUCAUGCUCGUGGAGCGGCCGAUAUCUGAUUAGCUAGUUGGUAGGGUAAAAGCCUACCAAGGCGACGAUCAGUAGCUGGUUUGAGAGAACGACCAGCCACACUGGGACUGAGACACGGCCCAGACUCCUACGGGAGGCAGCAGUGGGGAAUUUUGGACAAUGGGGGCAACCCUG